CCUACGGGAGACAGCAGUGAGGAAUAUUGGUCAAUGGGCGGAAGCCUGAACCAGCCAAGUCGCGUGAGGGAAUAAGGCCCUACGGGUCGUAAACCUCUUUUGCCGGGGAGCAAGGGCGGGGACGUGUCCCGGCGCGGAGAGUACCCGGAGAAAAAGCAUGGGCUAACUCCGUGCCAGCAGCCCGGGUAAUACGGAGGUUGCGAGCGUUAUCCGGAUUUAUUGGGUUUAAGGGGUCCGUAGGCGGGCUGUUAAGUCAGCGGUAAAAUUUCGGGGCUCAACCCCGUCCGGCCGUUGAAACUGGGGGCCUUGAGUGGGCGAGAAGAAGGCGGAAUGCGUGGUGUAGCGGUGAAAUGCAUAGAUAUCACGCAGAAUCCCGAUUGCGAAGGCAGCCUUCCGGCGCCCUACUGACGCUGAGGCACGAAAGUGCGUGGAUCGAACAGGAUUAGAUACCCUUGUAGUC
Molecule: ribosomal RNA, 460 nt
Filed under: uncultured bacterium
Lineage: Bacteria
Description: partial 16S ribosomal RNA
Rfam family: Bacterial small subunit ribosomal RNA
Source: RNAcentral